This 1365-nucleotide ribosomal RNA is filed under the name Limosilactobacillus fermentum. Its description in RNAcentral is "Lactobacillus fermentum 16S ribosomal RNA". It matches the Rfam family "Bacterial small subunit ribosomal RNA", at positions 116 to 1467 of the family's 1533-position model. Lineage: Bacteria; Bacillati; Bacillota; Bacilli; Lactobacillales; Lactobacillaceae. The record is from RNAcentral.
CGUAGGUAACCUACCCCAAAUCGGGGGACAACAUUUGGAAACAGAUGCUAAUACCGCAUAAGAACGUUGUUCGCAUGAACAACGCUUAAAAGAUGGCUUCUCGCUAUCACUUCUGGAUGGACCUGCGGUGCAUUAACUUGUUGGUGGGGUAACGGCCUACCAAGGCGAUGAUGCAUAGCCGAGUUGAGAGACUGAUCGGCCACAAUGGGACUGAGACACGGCCCAUACUCCUACGGGAGGCAGCAGUUGGGAAUCUUCCACAAUGGGCGCAAGCCUGAUGGAGAACACCGCGUGAGUGAAGAAGGGUUUCGGCUCGUAAAGCUCUGUUGUUAAAGAAGAACACGUAUGAGAGUAACUGUUCAUACGUUGACGGUAUUUAACCAGAAAGUCACGGCUAACUACGUGCCAGCAGCCGCGGUAAUACUUAGGUGGCAAGCGUUAUCCGGAUUUAUUGGGCGUAAAGAGAGUGCAGGCGGUUUUCUAAGUCUGAUGUGAAAGCCUUCGGCUUAACCGGAGAAGUGCAUCUGAAACUGGAUAACUUGAGUGCAAUUCCRGGUAKUGGAACUGCAUGUGUAGCGGUGGAAUGCGUAGAUAUAUGGAAGAACACCAGUGGCGAAGGCGGCUUCUUGGUCUGCUACUGACGCUGAGACUUGAAAGCAUGGGUAGCGAACAAGAUUAGAUUACCUGGUAGUUCAUGCCGUUAACGAUGAGUGCUAGAUGUUGGAGGGUUUUCGCCCUUCAGUGCCGGAGGUAACGCAUUAAGCACUUCGCCUGGGGAGUACGACCGCAAGGUUGAAACUCAAAGGAAUUGACGGGGGCCCGCACAAGCGGUGGAGCAUGUGGUUUAAUUUGAAGCUACGCGAAGAACCUUACCAGGUCUUGACAUCCUGCGCCAACCCUAGAGAUAGGGCGUUUCCUUUGGGAACGCAAUGACAGGUGGUGCAUGGUCGUUGUCAGCUUGUGUUGUGAGAUGUUGGGUUAAGUCCCGCAACGAGCGCAACCCUUGUUACUAGUUGCCAGCAUUAAGUUGGGCACUUUAGUGAGACUGCCGGUGACAAACCGGAGGAAGGUGGGGACGACGUCAGAUCAUCAUGCCCCUUAUGACCUGGGGUACACACGUGGUACAAUGGACGGUACAACGAGUCGCGAACUUGCGAGGGCAAGCAAAUUUUUUAAAACCUUUUUCAGUUCGGACUGCCGGGUGCAAAUUGCCUGCCAGAAGUCGGAAUUGGUUGUAAUUGCGGAUCAGCAUGCCGCGGUGAAUACGUUUCCGGGCCUUGUACCCCCCCCCCGUCACCCCCUGAGAGUUUGUAACACCCAAAGUUGGUGGGGUAACCUUUUAGGAGCCAGCCGCCUAAGGUGGGA